RNAcentral lists this transfer RNA (72 nucleotides) under Enterospora canceri. It matches the Rfam family "tRNA". From Rfam's summary of the family: Transfer RNA (tRNA) molecules are approximately 80 nucleotides in length. Their secondary structure includes four short double-helical elements and three loops (D, anti-codon, and T loops). The record is from Rfam by way of RNAcentral. Lineage: Eukaryota; Fungi; Microsporidia; Enterocytozoonidae.
ACCCGGUGGUCUAGUGGUUAGGACGCUCGCCUCACAAGCGAGAGGUCGCGGGCUCGAUCCCCGCGCCGGGUA